This 694-nucleotide ribosomal RNA is filed under the name uncultured bacterium. RNAcentral describes it as "bacterial SSU rRNA". It matches the Rfam family "Bacterial small subunit ribosomal RNA", at positions 141 to 833 of the family's 1533-position model. The record is from RNAcentral.
GGAUAACCUUGCGAAAGUAAGACUAAUACCCAAUGAUAUCUCUAGAAGACAUCUGAAAGAGAUUAAAGAUUUAUCGGUGAUGGAUGGGGAUGCGUCUGAUUAGCUUGUUGGCGGGGUAACGGCCCACCAAGGCAACGAUCAGUAGGGGUUCUGAGAGGAAGGUCCCCCACAUUGGAACUGAGACACGGUCCAAACUCCUACGGGAGGCAGCAGUGAGGAAUAUUGGUCAAUGGACGAGAGUCUGAACCAGCCAAGUAGCGUGCAGGAAGACGGCCCUAUGGGUUGUAAACUGCUUUUAUAAGGGAAUAAAGUUAGUCUCGUGAGACUUUUUGCAUGUACCUUAUGAAUAAGGACCGGCUAAUUCCGUGCCAGCAGCCGCGGUAAUACGGAAGGUCCGGGCGUUAUCCGGACUUAUUGGGUUUAAAGGGAGCGUAGGCCGGAGAUUAAGCGUGUUGUGAAAUGUAGACGCUCAACGUCUGCACUGCAGCGCGAACUGGUUUCCUUGAGUACGCACAAAGUGGGCGGAAUUCGUGGUGUAGCGGUGAAAUGCUUAGAUAUCACGAAGAACUCCGAUUGCGAAGGCAGCUCACUGGAGCGCAACUGACGCUGAAGCUCGAAAGUGCGGGUAUCGAACAGGAUUAGAUACCCUGGUAGUCCGCACGGUAAACGAUGGAUGCCCGCUGUUGGUCUGAAU